RNAcentral lists this non-coding RNA (746 nucleotides) under Phyllotreta cruciferae. Lineage: Eukaryota; Metazoa; Arthropoda; Insecta; Coleoptera; Chrysomelidae. The record is from RNAcentral.
AAUAAAUUUAAUUUUAGUUUAAAAAUUGGAUAAUAUUUUUUAUUAUAUAUAAAGUUUAAUUAAAGAAAUAAUUUAGUAGUAUUUAAAUUUAUUAAUAUAGUAAAUUAUGAUUUAGAAAUAAUAUUUAGUAUAAACCAAAUUUGUGCCAGCAGUUGCGGUUAUACAAAUUGUACAAUUUAAUUUUUUUAAUUUGAAUUAAUUUUAUAUAAAAUUAUAUAUUUAGGUAUUUGAGGUGAAAUUCAAUAAUUUAUAAUAAUAAUUUAUAAGUGUUAAUGAAAUUUUUAAAUUUUAGAUAUAAACUAGGAUUAGAUACCCUAUUAUUUAAAAAGUUAUAAAAAGAUUAAAUUAUUAAUAGUUAUGUUCUUUAAAAUUAAAAAAUUUGGCGGUAUUUUAAUCUUUUCAGAGGAACCUGUUUAUUAAAUGAUACUCCACGAUUUAAUUUACUUGCAUUAAAAACUUAUAUAUCGUUGUUAAAAAUAUUUUAAAAGAAAAUUAAUAUUUAGGUAUUAUAAUAAUAAUAUAAAUCAGAUCAAGAUGUAGUGUAUAUGUAAGGUUAAAUGGGUUACAUAAAUUUUAAUUAAGGAUUUAAAUUUUUAAAAAUUUAAUAAAUUUGGAUUUGAUAGUAAUUUUAAUUAAUUAAUUAAAAUGAUAUAGUUCUAAAAUAUGUACAUAUUGCCCGUCGCUUUCAUGUAAAGUGGAAUAAGUCGUAACAAAGUAAAUUUACUGGAAAGUGAAUUUAGAAUCAA